CCUACGGGUGGCAGCAGUAGGGAAUAUUGCUCAAUGGGGGAAACCCUGAAGCAGCAACGCCGCGUGGAGGAUGAAGGUUUUAGGAUUGUAAACUCCUUUUGUCAGAGAAGAUUAUGACGGUAUCUAACGAAUAAGCACCGGCUAACUCCGUGCCAGCAGCCGCGGUAAUACGGAGGGUGCAAGCGUUACCCGGAAUGACUGGGCGUAAAGAGUGCGUAGGCGGCGAAGUAAGUCAGAUGUGAAAUCCCGUAGCUUAACUACGGAACUGCAUUUGAAACUGUUUCUCUGGAGUGUGGGAGAGGUAGGUGGAAUUCUUGGUGUAGGGGUGAAAUGCGUAGAGAUCAGGAGGAACACUCGUUGCGAAGGCGACCUGCUGGACCAUUACUGACGCUGAGGCACGAAAGCGUGGGGAGCAAACAGGAUUAGAUACCCGGGUAGUC
RNAcentral lists this ribosomal RNA (440 nucleotides) under uncultured bacterium. RNAcentral describes it as "partial 16S ribosomal RNA". It matches the Rfam family "Bacterial small subunit ribosomal RNA", at positions 338 to 795 of the family's 1533-position model. The record is from RNAcentral.